Molecule: ribosomal RNA, 482 nt
Filed under: uncultured bacterium
Lineage: Bacteria
Description: bacterial SSU rRNA
Rfam family: Bacterial small subunit ribosomal RNA
Source: RNAcentral
UUGAACGCUGGCGGCAUGCUUUACACAUGCAAGUCGAACGGCAGCACGGGGGCAACCCUGGUGGCGAGUGGCGAACGGGUGAGUAAUAUAUCGGAACAUAUCCGGGAGUGGGGGAUAACGUAGCGAAAGUUACGCUAAUACCGCAUACGCCCUGAGGGGGAAAGUGGGGGAUCGCAAGACCUCACGUUAUUGGAGCGGCCGAUAUCGGAUUAGCUAGUUGGUGGGGUAAAGGCUCACCAAGGCGACGAUCCGUAGCGGGUCUGAGAGGACGGCCCGCCACACUGGAACUGAGACACGGUCCAGACUCCUACGGGAGGCAGCAGUGGGGAAUUUUGGACAAUGGGGGCAACCCUGAUCCAGCCAUUCCGCGUGAGUGAAGAAGGCCUUCGGGUUGUAAAGCUCUUUCGGCAGGAACGAAACGGUGAGCUCUAACAUAGCUUGCUAAUGACGGUACCUGAAGAAGAAGCACCGGCUAACUACGU